This 253-nucleotide ribosomal RNA is filed under the name uncultured bacterium. Its description in RNAcentral is "partial 16S ribosomal RNA". It matches the Rfam family "Bacterial small subunit ribosomal RNA", at positions 524 to 776 of the family's 1533-position model. The record is from RNAcentral.
UACGAACCGUACAAACGUUAUUCGGAAUCACUGGGCUUAAAGGGUGCGUAGGCGGCCAUGUAAGUGAGGUGUGGAAUCCCUCGGCUCAACCGAGGAACUGCGCUUCAUACUGCAUGGCUUGAGGGAGACAGGGGUAAGCGGAACUGAUGGUGGAGCGGUGAAAUGCGUUGAUAUCAUCAGGAACACCGGUGGCGAAAGCGGCUUACUGGGUCUCUUCUGACGCUGAGGUACGAAAGCUAGGGGAGCGAACGGG